Molecule: ribosomal RNA, 484 nt
Filed under: uncultured bacterium
Lineage: Bacteria
Description: partial 16S ribosomal RNA
Rfam family: Bacterial small subunit ribosomal RNA
Source: RNAcentral
AUUGAACGCUGGCGGCAGGCCUAACACAUGCAAGUCGAGCGGAUGAAGGGAGCUUGCUCCUGGAUUCAGCGGCGGACGGGUGAGUAAUGCCUAGGAAUCUGCCUGGUAGUGGGGGAUAACGUCCGGAAACGGGCGCUAAUACCGCAUACGUCCUGAGGGAGAAAGUGGGGGAUCUUCGGACCUCACGCUAUCAGAUGAGCCUAGGUCGGAUUAGCUAGUUGGUGGGGUAAAGGCCUACCAAGGCGACGAUCCGUAACUGGUCUGGGAGGAUGAUCAGUCACACUGGAACUGAGACACGGUCCAGACUCCUACGGGAGGCAGCAGUGGGGAAUAUUGGACAAUGGGCGAAAGCCUGACCCAGCCAUGCCGCGUGUGUGAAGAAGGUCUUCGGAUUGUAAAGCACUUUAAGUUGGGAGGAAGGGCAGUAAGUUAAUACCUUGCUGUUUUGACGUUACCAACAGAAUAAGCACCGGCUAACUUCGUG